Molecule: ribosomal RNA, 301 nt
Filed under: uncultured bacterium
Lineage: Bacteria
Description: partial 16S ribosomal RNA
Rfam family: Bacterial small subunit ribosomal RNA
Source: RNAcentral
CAGCAGCCACGGUAAUACGUAGGUGGCAAGCGUUGUCCGGAAUUAUUGGGCGUAAAGGGCUCGCAGGCGGUUUCUUAAGUCUGAUGUGAAAGCCCCCGGCCCAACCGGGGAGGGUCAUUGGAAACUGGGAAACUUGAGUGCAGAAGAGGAGAGUGGAAUUCCACGUGUAGCGGUGAAAUGCGUAGAGAUGUGGAGGAACACCAGUGGCGAAGGCGACUCUCUGGUCUGUAACUGACGCUGAGGAGCGAAAGCGUGGGGAGCGAACAGGAUUAGAUACCCGCGUAGUCCCUGUCUCUUAUAA